This 405-nucleotide ribosomal RNA is filed under the name uncultured bacterium. RNAcentral's name for it is "bacterial SSU rRNA". It matches the Rfam family "Bacterial small subunit ribosomal RNA", at positions 356 to 773 of the family's 1533-position model. The record is from RNAcentral.
GGGGAAUAUUGCACAAUGGGCGGAAGCCUGAUGCAGCAACGCCGCGUGCGGGAUGACGGCCUUCGGGUUGUAAACCGCUUUCAGCAGGGACGAAGCUAACGUGACGGUACCUGCAGAAGAAGCACCGGCUAACUACGUGCCAGCAGCCGCGGUGAUACGUAGGGUGCGAGCGUUGUCCGGAUUUAUUGGGCGUAAAGAGCUUGUAGGCGGUUUGUCGCGUCGGGAGUGAAAACUCAGGGCUUAACCCUGAGCCUGCUUCCGAUACGGGCAGACUUGAGGAAGGUAGGGGAGAAUGGAAUUCCUGGUGAAGCGGUGGAAUGCGUAGAUAUCAGGAGGAACACCAGUGGCGAAGGCGGUUCUCUGGACCUUUCCUGACGCUGAGAAGCGAAAGCGUGGGGAGCAAAC